GACGAACGCUGGCGGCGUGCUUAACACAUGCAAGUCGAACGGAAAGGCCCCCUUGUGGGGUACUCGAGUGGCGAACGGGUGAGUAACACGCGAGUAACCUACCCUUGACUAUGGGAUAACUUCAGGAAACUGGGGCUAAUACCGGAUAGGAGCUCCUGCUGCAUGGUGGGGGUGGGAAAGUUUCGGCGGUUGGGGAUGGACUCGCGGCUUAUCAGCUUGUUGGUGGGGUAGUGGCUCACCAAGGCUUUGACGGGUAGCCGGCCUGAGAGGGUGACCGGCCACGUUGGGACUGAGAUACGGCCCAGACUCCUACGGGAGGCAGCAGUGGGGAAUAUUGCACAAUAAGCGGAAGCCUGAUGCAGCAACGCCGCGUGCGGGAUGACGGCCUUCGGGUUGUAAGCCGCUUUCGCCUGUGACGAAGCGUGAGUGACGGUAAUGGGUAAAGAAGCACCGGCUAACUACGUG
This 465-nucleotide ribosomal RNA is filed under the name uncultured bacterium. Its description in RNAcentral is "partial 16S ribosomal RNA". It matches the Rfam family "Bacterial small subunit ribosomal RNA", at positions 28 to 507 of the family's 1533-position model. The record is from RNAcentral.